RNAcentral lists this ribosomal RNA (312 nucleotides) under uncultured Glomeromycotina. RNAcentral describes it as "LSU rRNA". The record is from RNAcentral. Lineage: Eukaryota; Fungi; Glomeromycota.
UUGAAAGGGAAACGAUUGAAGGCAGUCAUGCUGGUGGGAAUCAACUUAGGGGANACUCUAGGUGCACUUUUUCGCUUGGCAGGUUAACGUCGAUCUUGAAUGCCAUAAAAUAAUUGGGGGAAGGUAGCUCCUUCGGGAGUGUUAUAGCCCUUGAUAGAUGUGAUGUUUGGGGUCGAGGAUUGCAACGGAUACCCUUUGGGGCUAGCCGCCUGAUCUCUAAUCGGUGUUGGGUUACGGAUAGCAUGCUGACCGUGAUCUAAUUACUGGUUAAAAGGUUAGAGCGUGCAUAAAUUCGUUAAGGAUGUUGACGUA